AGCCACAGUGUGCUCUGGAUGGAGUGGAUGAGACGGAAGAAAUGCCUGAUGACACUGUCCCUGAGUCACAGUCUCAAAUUCCGCUGGGGGGAACCCGGUCAUGAGGCUGUCAUCCUCUGACUCGGAAAUGGAGCUCUUGGAGCUGAUACCCUGACUUCAUGGAGGAGUUACUUCAUGGGUGAUCUGAACUACUGGGAGCAGGCUUGAUUGAACAGUCUGACUGCUGCAGGAAGGAAGGACCUCCUUCAAACAUCGUGGGUGAAGCAGUCUGUCCCUGAAGGAGCUGCCGGUGAUGGUCCUGUUUCCUGCAGGGGGUGGGAGAUGUCCUCCAUGAUAGACAACAGCUUUGUCAUCAUCCUCCUGUCUACCACCAGCCCAGGACAGAGCUUGCUUUCUUAACCAGUUUCUUUAGUCUCUUCCUGUCUGCAGCCGUGAUGCUGCUGCUCCAGCAGACCAGUCCAUACAGGAUGGCUGAUACCACCACACAACCAUAAAAGGUCCUCAGAAUUGCUCCCUACACCCCGAAGGACCUCAGUUUCCUGAGCAGUCAGAGUGUAAAGAAUUGAAGCUGUCAGAGGCUUUCUGUGGUGAAGAGGCUGCAGGACAUCAGCUGCUCCAACAGGUGACGCCUUUGUUCUUUGGCUCCAACCAGAACCAGCAAUAAAUCAGCAUGAGCUGCAGCUUAUCCACCUCAUAGAGUGUAUAAUAAAGAAACCAAGAGGUUUUAGUUGAUAGCUGUCUCUAGUGAAUGACCAGCAGUGUCUUGUUCAGGUUGUGAGGAGAAGUAAAAAGCUUACAGCACCUGGUAUUCCCAGGUAGUCUCCCAUCCAAAUACUAACCAGGCCCAACGCUGCUUAACUUCAGAAAU
Long non-coding RNA from Amphiprion ocellaris (clown anemonefish), 868 nucleotides. RefSeq lists it as uncharacterized. The transcript has 4 exons. The record is from RefSeq and is a predicted model, not a curated record. NCBI's taxonomy places the organism in Eukaryota, Metazoa, Chordata, Actinopteri, Pomacentridae.